This 529-nucleotide ribosomal RNA is filed under the name uncultured bacterium. RNAcentral's name for it is "bacterial SSU rRNA". It matches the Rfam family "Bacterial small subunit ribosomal RNA", at positions 46 to 584 of the family's 1533-position model. The record is from RNAcentral.
GCAUAACACAUGCAAGUCGAGCGAGGGCUCAUUUCCCGCAAGGGAGAUGGGUUCCUAGCGGCGAACGGGUGAGUAACACGUGGGCAACCUUUCCUAUCGCGGGGGAUAACAGCGGGAAACCGCUGCUAAUACCGCAUGUCGUCACCGGUCGCAUGGCCGGUGAAGAAAGCAGCAAUGCACGAUGGGGUGGGCCCGCGGCCUAUCAGCUAGUCGGUGGGGUAACGGCCUACCGAGGCGAUGACGGGUAGCUGGUCUGAGAGGACGACCAGCCACACGGGGACUGAGACACGGCCCCGACUCCUACGGGAGGCAGCAGUGAGGAAUCUUCCGCAAUGGGCGAAAGCCUGACGGAGCGACACCGCGUGUGGGAUGAAGUCCUUCGGGAUGUAAACCACUGUUGGAGGGGAAGACAACUGACGGUACCCUCCGAGAAAGCCCCGGCUAACUACGUGCCAGCAGCCGCGGUAAUACGUAGGGGGCAAGCGUUAUCCAGAUUUACUGGGCGUAAAGCGCGUGUANGCGGCUGGUU